Molecule: ribosomal RNA, 253 nt
Filed under: uncultured bacterium
Lineage: Bacteria
Description: partial 16S ribosomal RNA
Rfam family: Bacterial small subunit ribosomal RNA
Source: RNAcentral
UACGGAGGGUGCGAGCGUUGUCCGGAAUCACUGGGCGUAAAGGGCGCGUAGGCGGCCUGAUAAGUAGGGGGUGAAAUCCUGCGGCUUAACCGCAGGGCUGCCUUCUAAACUGUCAGGCUUGAGCACAGUAGAGGCAGGUGGAAUUCCCGGUGUAGCGGUGGAAUGCGUAGAGAUCGGGAAGAACAUCAGUGGCGAAGGCGGCCUGCUGGGCUGCACCUGACGCUGAGCCGCGAAAGCCAGGGGAGCGAACGGG